RNAcentral lists this ribosomal RNA (166 nucleotides) under Castanopsis rockii. RNAcentral describes it as "5.8S ribosomal RNA". It matches the Rfam family "5.8S ribosomal RNA". Rfam says of the family: 5.8S ribosomal RNA (5.8S rRNA) is a component of the large subunit of the eukaryotic ribosome. It is transcribed by RNA polymerase I as part of the 45S precursor that also contains 18S and 28S rRNA. Lineage: Eukaryota; Viridiplantae; Streptophyta; Magnoliopsida; Fagales; Fagaceae. The record is from RNAcentral.
CUCUCGGCAACGGAUAUUUAGGCUCUCGCAUCGAUGAAGAACGUAGCGAAAUGCGAUACUUGGUGAGAAUUGCAGAAUCCCGCGAAUCAUCGAGUUUUUGAACGCAAGUUGCGCCCGAAGCCAUUCGGCGGAGGGCACGUCUGCCUGGGUGUCACGCAUCGUUACC